RNAcentral lists this ribosomal RNA (503 nucleotides) under uncultured bacterium. RNAcentral describes it as "partial 16S ribosomal RNA". It matches the Rfam family "Bacterial small subunit ribosomal RNA", at positions 30 to 523 of the family's 1533-position model. The record is from RNAcentral.
AUUGAACGCUGGCGGCAGGCUUAACACAUGCAAGUCGAGCGGGGUGAUGGUGCUUGCACUAUCACUUAGCGGCGGACGGGUGAGUAAUGCUUAGGUAUCUGCCUAUUAGUGGGGGACAACAUCUCGAAAGGGAUGCUAAUACCGCAUACGUCCUACGGGAGAAAGCAGGGGAUCACUUGUGACCUUGCGCUAAUAGAUGAGCCUAAGUCGGAUUAGCUAGUUGGUAGGGUAAAGGCCUACCAAGGCGACGAUCUGUAGCGGGUCUGAGAGGAUGAUCCGCCACACUGGGACGGAGACACGGCCCAGACUCCUACGGGAGGCAGCAGUGGGGAAUAUUGGACAAUGGGGGGAACCCUGAUCCAGCCAUGCCGCGUGUGUGAAGAAGGCCUUAUGGUUGUAAAGCACUUUAAGCGAGGAGGAGGCUCUUUUGGUUAAUACCCAAGAUGAGUGGACGUUACUCGCAGAAUAAGCACCGGCUAACUCUGUGCCAGCAGCCGCGGUAA